AUUGAACGCUGGCGGCAGGCCUAACACAUGCAAGUCGAGCGGAUGAAGGGAGCUUGCUCCUGGAUUCAGCGGCGGACGGGUGAGUAAUGCCUAGGAAUCUGCCUGGUAGUGGGGGAUAACGUCCUGAAACGGGCGCUAAUACCGCAUACGUCCUGAGGGAGAAAGGGGGGGAUCUUCGGACCUCACGCUAUCAGAUGAGCCUAGGUCGGAUUAGCUAGUUGGUGGGGUAAAGGCCUACCAAGGCGACGAUCCGUAACUGGUCUGAGAGGAUGAUCAGUCACACUGGAACUGAGACACGGUCCAGACUCCUACGGGAGGCAGCAGUGGGGAAUAUUGGACAAUGGGCGAAAGCCUGAUCCAGCCAUGCCGCGUGUGUGAAGAAGGUCUUCGGAUUGUAAAGCCCUUUAAGUUGGGAGGAAGGGCAGUAAGUUAAUACCUUGCUGUUUUGACGUUACCAACAGAAUAAGCACCGGCUAACUUCGUG
Molecule: ribosomal RNA, 484 nt
Filed under: uncultured bacterium
Lineage: Bacteria
Description: partial 16S ribosomal RNA
Rfam family: Bacterial small subunit ribosomal RNA
Source: RNAcentral